CCAACCCUCGGGUCGAGGGAAGGCGGCGGCCGCCUCACGCGGGUAAAAAACCGGUUACCGUGUUUUCUUCGCAGCGCCACUCCACCACCAGGAUUUCCUCUCCCUUCUCGCCGCCAUAACAACGCUACUACCACUAUCAUUACCGCUACCGCUACCACUACCGCGAAAUGCAAGACCAACAGCAUGACACUCGAGGACACCUGAGGGAGGGUGCGCUCCCAUUAUCACCGCCAAACAUGACCAUCACAACAUUACCACCAUCACCAUCAUCAGGAUUAUCAAUUAAACCGGCACGACCGGUGCCAUCGUUACCAGUUGCAUCAUCGACUAACACUCAUCGUCGCCACCAUCGGCAUAUCCCUUGCGCGCGGAUACGUCAUAAAAUACACGAUGUGCUCGCCGGGCGACGUGUUCAUGGGGACCCCAACAAAACAUAAAAAAACAAAACAAAGCCAUAUACACCCACCUCUAAAAAACACGUACCGGAAUGCUGUACAUCAGUACGACGUCGUGUCAGCAGCAUGCAGCUGCCAUACCCAACAUGCUUGCCCGUACUCCUAAAAGCGGGUCAUGGGACCCUUGCGGGUAGCGGCGCUCUAAAGUACCGCGUACGGUAGUACGACGAACGCUCCUAUAUGUACGGACAUACACACACCUAGCAUAAGAGAUUCGCGGCCCGGCUAGACAGGAUACGACAGCCACAUGCUCUCUCGUUCUCACUCUCGCCACCCGGGCCUAGCCCCUACAGUACCAAUAUGCCCCGGGAGGGAGGCCGUGUUGUCGGCGUAGCACGUUUUUUUGUGCAACCUGUACAGUCCGCAACACGGCUGCAGCUCACUCCCACCCACUCCCCCUCCCUCCCCCACAACCGCCGCACCUUGCAUGACCACCCCCGCCCACCCCCACUCCGCAACACAGCGUCCUCUCCACAACCACAUUCCAGCCUUUGCAGCCGCCCUCACCGCCCUCACCCACGCUCCCAGUCAGUCAACUUGUCCGUCUAUGUGUCUGUGUCUAUGUUUGUCUGCCUACUUUUACGUUCGUGUACCUGUUCGUCUGUUUACCUGUAUGUAUGUCCACAUCCCUGCCAGCUACAUCCAUACAGGCGGUCUCAUCUCGCAGCACUCCGUCAGUGGAGAGGUCGGGACGGGGACGGGGAGGAAACAGGGGGAGGGAAAACCCUACCUCCCGUCACACCACCAGCAGCAGCAGCAUUACCAUCAUCAUCUCCAUGACGAACUGAGGCGGGCACAACCGCGCGUGUCCCUCCCUCUCCCCCACCCUCUCUCAUUCCAGGACGUGUCCAAUGUUAGAUUCGGACCUUCUCUCUGGCCAGGAUGACCAGGUCUCCAUCGUUGAGCAC
Molecule: long non-coding RNA, 1363 nt
Filed under: Volvox carteri
Lineage: Eukaryota; Viridiplantae; Chlorophyta; Chlorophyceae; Chlamydomonadales; Volvocaceae
Description: long non-coding RNA (VCAR_LNC000977)
Source: RNAcentral